RNAcentral lists this transfer RNA (73 nucleotides) under Ipomoea nil (Japanese morning glory). It matches the Rfam family "tRNA". From Rfam's summary of the family: Transfer RNA (tRNA) molecules are approximately 80 nucleotides in length. Their secondary structure includes four short double-helical elements and three loops (D, anti-codon, and T loops). Lineage: Eukaryota; Viridiplantae; Streptophyta; Magnoliopsida; Solanales; Convolvulaceae. The record is from Rfam by way of RNAcentral.
UCCGUUGUCGUCCAGCCGGUUCGGAUAUCUGGCUUUCACCCAGGAGACUCGGGUUCAAUUCCCGGCAACGAAA